Cyprinus carpio carpio is the source of this 737-nucleotide long non-coding RNA. The record is from Ensembl. Lineage: Eukaryota; Metazoa; Chordata; Actinopteri; Cypriniformes; Cyprinidae.
AUAACGAGGGACAGACAGGAGGGGACGAUAACUAAUCAAACACAGGUGAACUGAAUUAACUAAUCAAAGGACGACAGACACUAAAUGAAAACACAAAAGAAGUCCAUAGGUGCUUCUCAGUAUCCCUCCUCAUUUCCUCGCUCCUCCGUCCUCUAUCCUGUGACCAGGAAACCAAUCGAGCUCAGCCGUUUUGUAGGACAUCUCAAUUCUCUAAUUGCACUGCGAGGAGUGAGGAGGCUUCCAGAGGAGCUAUGAGCGAGGAUACACAGCUGUAUCCUGUGGGGAAGUGUUUUAUCGACUAAACGUGACACAAGUAUCAAUUCUCCACCCCUGCACAAACCAUGGCAGAAAAUACAAACACACAUAAAUCUCCUGAGACGAUCUGCUAUUGCUCCUGGGAUCCGUGGAAAACAAGCACUCACCAGCCAUUAAAUAAUACAGCCGGGACCAAGACCAGAAUGAAAGAGACGUCCAUCAGACCGGCAGAGCAGGAAUAAUCAAGGCCUUUGACUCUCCUAACCACGCUUCUUGAGAUCCAAUGCAAACUCAUCAAAGGGCAUGUUUUAUGGACAGCUCACUUUUAGCCCCCAAAAAUAAUGAAUGCAUUUGAUCCGACAUGAAAGAGACAGGAGGCUGGCUCUUCUGCUGGCAGACAGCAGACAGAUAAUUAAUAAUCAAAUUAAAGAAGACUUUCCACCACCCCACCAUCCACAGUUGUAUGUUAACACAAAGCAGUC